CGCGGCCUAUCAGCUUGUUGGUGAGGUAAUGGCUUACCAAGGCUUCGACGGGUAGCCGGCCUGAGAGGGUGAUCGGCCACACUGGGACUGAGACACGGCCCAGACUCCUACGGGAGGCAGCAGUGGGGAAUAUUGGACAAUGGGCGGAAGCCUGAUCCAGCAACGCCGCGUGAGGGAUGACGGCCUUCGGGUUGUAAACCUCUUUCAGCUCCGACGAAGUUUUGUCUUUUUGGGCAGGGUGACGGUAGGGGCAGAAGAAGCACCGGCCAACUACGUGCCAGCAGCCGCGGUAAUACGUAGGGUGCGAGCGUUGUCCGGAAUUAUUGGGCGUAAAGGGCUCGUAGGCGGUUUGUCACGUCGGGAGUGAAAUCUCGGGGCUUAACUCCGAGUCUGCUUCCGAUACGGGCUGACUAGAGGUAUGCAGGGGAGAACGGAAUUCCUGGUGUAGCGGUGAAAUGCGCAGAUAUCAGGAGGAACACCGGUGGCGAAGGCGGUUCUCUGGGCAUUACCUGACGCUGAGGAGCGAAAGUGUGGGGAGCGAACAGGAUUAGAUACCCUGGUAGUCCACACCGUAAACGUUGGGCGCUAGGUGUGGGGCUCAUUCCACGAGUUCCGUGCCGCAGCUAACGCAUUAAGCGCCCCGCCUGGGGAGUACGG
RNAcentral lists this ribosomal RNA (657 nucleotides) under uncultured bacterium. RNAcentral's name for it is "bacterial SSU rRNA". It matches the Rfam family "Bacterial small subunit ribosomal RNA", at positions 232 to 885 of the family's 1533-position model. The record is from RNAcentral.